AGUGCCCGAGGUGGCCCGCCCGCUGUACCAGAGCAGGAAGCCUCGUCCUCCUGUGCCCUCAUCCGUCGUCAUCCUCAGGGUCACCUGGUUGCCGGGGGCGACUAGGGGCGCAGGCCGGAAGGUCCCACAAAAGCGUCCGAGCCGCUGGCCGGAAGUCCCAGACCCAGCGAAGACCUCCAGAGCAUCGUAGCGGCAGGCGGGGUGCAGCUCCAGGAAUUCCCGGAAUCCUCCUCGGCCCCCCUUCCAGACUCCCGCCUCACUCUGCCUGGCAGUCCAGGGACAGGAGCCGCCUAACUACUUCCAGAUGUGGACACAGCCACGAGGCGGUGGGGGGGAGGGGGUGGAGAGAUGGAGGGAGCUGCAGUGGCGAUGGCCCUCUGAUUGAACCUGGAGGCCAGGCUCCGCGAGCUCCACACCUUAGCCCUGCCCCUGUUCCAAACUACUUCAGAUUCUGACUCCCAAGUCU
This 466-nucleotide long non-coding RNA is filed under the name Homo sapiens (human). Its description in RNAcentral is "HSALNT0342312". Lineage: Eukaryota; Metazoa; Chordata; Mammalia; Primates; Hominidae. The record is from RNAcentral.